UUAUUGUGCUGUGUAUUUGAAAUAAUGUUGUGUAUGAAUGAUAAAACUGUACCAAUGCGUAAGAAAGAAAUAAAGUGAAAAAAAACAAAACAUAUGUUUUACUUAAACAUAUUAUCAA
Molecule: long non-coding RNA, 118 nt
Organism: Haliotis rubra (blacklip abalone)
Lineage: Eukaryota; Metazoa; Mollusca; Gastropoda; Lepetellida; Haliotidae
Exons: 3
Source: RefSeq, a predicted model, not a curated record